This 465-nucleotide ribosomal RNA is filed under the name uncultured bacterium. RNAcentral's name for it is "partial 16S ribosomal RNA". It matches the Rfam family "Bacterial small subunit ribosomal RNA", at positions 28 to 507 of the family's 1533-position model. The record is from RNAcentral.
GACGAACGCUGGCGGCGUGCUUAACACAUGCAAGUCGAACGGAAAGGCCCUGCUUGCAGGGUACUCGAGUGGCGAACGGGUGAGUAACACGUGGGUGAUCUGCCCUGCACUUCGGGAUAAGCCUGGGCGAGUGGGUCUAGUACCGGCUAGAAGCCAUAUUUAGUGGGAUGGUUGGAAAGUUUUUUCGGUUUAGGGUGAGCUCGAGGCCUAUCAGCUUGUUGGUGGGGUAAUGUGCUACCAAGCCGGCGGCGGGUAGCCGGCCUGUGAGGGUGGACGGCGACCUUGGGACUUACAGACGGCCCAGAUUCCGACUGGACGGAGAUGGGGGGAAUAUUGCCCGAGGGGCGCAAGCCUGAUGCAGCGACGCCGCGGGGCGUAUGACGCUGUUCGGGUUGUAAAAUCAUUUCGCUAGUGACUAAGCUUUUUGUGACGGUACCUAGAUAAGAAGCCCCGGCUAACUACGUG